GACGAACGCUGGCGGCGUGCUUAACACAUGCAAGUCGAACGGAAAGGCCCUGCUUUUGUGGGGUGCUCGAGUGGCGAACGGGUGAGUAACACGUGAGUAACCUGCCCUUGACUUUGGGAUAACUUCAGGAAACUGGGGCUAAUACCGGAUAGGAGCUCCUGCUGCAUGGUGGGGGUUGGAAAGUUUCGGCGGUUGGGGAUGGACUCGCGGCUUAUCAGCUUGUUGGUGGGGUAGUGGCUUACCAAGGCUUUGACGGGUAGCCGGCCUGAGAGGGUGGCCGGCGUCAGGGGGCCUAAGGGAGGACCCAGCUGCGAACGGGAGGAAAAGGGGGGAAGUUUGGCAGAGGGGCGGGAGGUUGGAGGCGACAGCCCCCGGAGCGGAAAACCGCCUUCUGGGUGAAAAACAGCUUUCGCCGGAAACGUGCUGGGCGUGACGGUAAGGAAUAAGAAAGCCCCGGCUAACUACGUG
This 468-nucleotide ribosomal RNA is filed under the name uncultured bacterium. RNAcentral's name for it is "partial 16S ribosomal RNA". It matches the Rfam family "Bacterial small subunit ribosomal RNA", at positions 28 to 507 of the family's 1533-position model. The record is from RNAcentral.